GAUGAACGCUGGCGGCGUACCUAAUACAUGCAAGUCGAGCGAAAAGACGAGGAGCUUGCUCCUCUGACGUUAGCGGCGGACGGGUGAGUAAAACGUGGAUAACCUACCUAUAAGACUGGGAUAACUUCGGGAAACCGGAGCUAAUACCGGAUAAUAUAUUGAACCGCAUGGUUCAAUAGUGAAAGACGGUUUUGCUGUCACUUAUAGAUGGAUCCGCGCCGCAUUAGCUAGUUGGUAAGGUAACGGCUUACCAAGGCGACGAUGCGUAGCCGACCUGAGAGGGUGAUCGGCCACACUGGAACUGAGACACGGUCCAGACUCCUACGGGAGGCAGCAGUAGGGAAUCUUCCGCAAUGGGCGAAAGCCUGACGGAGCAACGCCGCGUGAAUGAAGAAGGUCUUCGGAUCGUAAAACUCUGUUAUUAGGGAAGAACAAAUGUGUAAUUAACUAUGCACGUCUUGACGGUACCUAAUCAGAAAGCCACGGCUAACUACGUG
Molecule: ribosomal RNA, 497 nt
Filed under: uncultured bacterium
Lineage: Bacteria
Description: partial 16S ribosomal RNA
Rfam family: Bacterial small subunit ribosomal RNA
Source: RNAcentral